GGAACUGUGAUCGGCCUUGAGCGGCGUCUGGUCGGAGAACUUUUACGGCGACCGGAGUGUGAUCUAAAGAGCACUUGUAAACAGGUCCGUACCCUCCUUCUCCGAUUUUACGAGAACUUGAGAAAUGCUCAGUUGCUUCUUCAAUUUCCUCUAUUGUGUAUCUCCGGUACCGGAGAUCGGCGUGACUGAAAUUACUCUUGGCAGUUUUCUUCUUCUCGUCUGUUUCUCUCCGAGCUUUCUUCUCUGCGCUUAUUCUCUUUUGAGCUUCAAGCUCUGCAAUUCUUUUAGCUGCUUCAACUGCUUCAAGGGCUGCUCUACACUUGGCUUUUUCCCUCUCUGCGAUUGCCAGAGCAGCUCCUUCUGCUAAUUUUGCCUCCUCUAAUCUCUGUUGCUCCUCCAUUUUCCAUUGAUGAAGCUCCUUAGCCUGUUGUAUAUGUAGUGAUGACAAGGUAUAAUUUUGCUUAUGAUUCUGAAAAAAUGUAAGGAAAAUUUUUCUGGGUCUUAAAAAUCAGCAUGUGCGUACCUUCUGUUUUGCUGUGACAGCUUCUUUAAUGGCGUUAUUAUACAUAUCCAUUGUUUGCUUCAACUCUGAUCUAAGCCUCUUCAUCUCUAAUUCCCAGUCAUCCUGUAAUUUCCAGUCAAUAUAUAUAUAUAUAUUAUAUCAGUCACUCUGUCUCAGGUGCAUAAAGAGUAAAUUUUGACUAAGCCCAUAUGGAAAAUAUACAUGUAUAUGCCACCUUUUAUGCUUAUAUAUAUGAUCAAGCUUACAUUGUAAGGUGCUGAGAUGGAGCAAGAUGAUCUGCCACUUUCUUGUGAGCAUGUUGAGAAUUGGGAAGGGUAUUCCACUGACUUUGUUGUGUAUGAUGAAGCAAAGCUAAAUCUUUCAUCAAAUUCUGAUCCCGUCGAACGCGGCGUCAUUCCUGGAUCAGAAUUCUCGUAGAAACCUGGGAGCAUCCGAUCCGUGCUUGGUCUGC
RNAcentral lists this long non-coding RNA (974 nucleotides) under Carica papaya (papaya). Its description in RNAcentral is "long non-coding RNA (CPAP_LNC005727)". The record is from RNAcentral. Lineage: Eukaryota; Viridiplantae; Streptophyta; Magnoliopsida; Brassicales; Caricaceae.